UCCUGCUGAUUGGAUGACCAGCCUUGAUG
Molecule: non-coding RNA, 29 nt
Filed under: Homo sapiens (human)
Lineage: Eukaryota; Metazoa; Chordata; Mammalia; Primates; Hominidae
Source: RNAcentral